UACGGGGGGGGCAAGCGUUGUUCGGAAUUACUGGGCGUAAAGGGCUCGUAGGCGGCCAACUAAGUCGGAUGUGAAAUCCCCAGGCUCAACCUGGGAACUGCAUCCGAUACUGGAUGGCUUGAAUUCGGGAGAGGGAUGCAGAAUUCCAGGUGUAGCGGUGAAAUGCGUAGAUAUCUGGAGGAACACCGGUGGCGAAGGCGGCAUCCUGGACCGACACUGACGCUGAGGAGCGAAAGCGUGGGGAGCGAACAGG
This 253-nucleotide ribosomal RNA is filed under the name uncultured bacterium. RNAcentral describes it as "partial 16S ribosomal RNA". It matches the Rfam family "Bacterial small subunit ribosomal RNA", at positions 524 to 776 of the family's 1533-position model. The record is from RNAcentral.